This 498-nucleotide ribosomal RNA is filed under the name uncultured bacterium. RNAcentral's name for it is "partial 16S ribosomal RNA". It matches the Rfam family "Bacterial small subunit ribosomal RNA", at positions 28 to 507 of the family's 1533-position model. The record is from RNAcentral.
GACGAACGCUGGCGGCGUGCCUAAUACAUGCAAGUCGAACGAGAGCGACCGGUGCUUGCACUGGUCAAUCUAGUGGCGAACGGGUGAGUAACACGUGGGUAACCUGCCCAUCAGAGGGGGAUAACAUCCGGAAACGGAUGCUAAAACCGCAUAGGUCUUCGAGCCGCAUGGCUUGAAGAGGAAAAGAGGCGCAAGCUUCUGCUGAUGGAUGGACCCGCGGUGCAUUAGCUAGUUGGUGAGGUAACGGCUCACCAAGGCCGUGAUGCAUAGCCGACCUGAGAGGGUGAUCGGCCACAUUGGGACUGAGACACGGCCCAAACUCCUACGGGAGGCAGCAGUAGGGAAUCUUCCGCAAUGGACGCAAGUCUGACGGAGCAACGCCGCGUGAGUGAAGAAGGUUUUCGGAUCGUAAAACUCUGUUGUUAGAGAAGAGCAAGUGCUAGAGUAACUGUUAGCGCCUUGACGGUAGCUAACCAGAAAGCCACGGCUAACUACGUG